Molecule: small nucleolar RNA, 134 nt
Organism: Sorex araneus (European shrew)
Lineage: Eukaryota; Metazoa; Chordata; Mammalia; Eulipotyphla; Soricidae
Source: Ensembl
GUCCUCAGGUUCCUGGAUGCUGUGGUUUGUAUACAGCUCUCCAGUGGAUUGAAGGGACCAGACCAGUUCUGUGGCUGAUGCAUGGUGGUUGUUUUUCUUUAGCAGCCUCUGUAGCCCAGAUACAUGGAAAAUAA